GACAGAGGGUGCAAACGUUGUUCGGAAUUACUGGGCGUAAAGCGCGUGUAGGCUGUUCGGAAAGUCGGAUGUGAAAGCCCUCGGCUCAACCGAGGAAUUGCGCUCCAAACUACCGUGCUUGAGUGAGACAGAGGUAAGCGGAACUUCGGGUGGAACGGUGAAAUGUGUUGAUAUCCGAAGGAACACCGGUGGCGAAAGCGGCUUACUGGGUCUCAACUGACGCUGAUGCACGAAAGCCAGGGUAGCAAACGGG
RNAcentral lists this ribosomal RNA (253 nucleotides) under uncultured bacterium. RNAcentral's name for it is "partial 16S ribosomal RNA". It matches the Rfam family "Bacterial small subunit ribosomal RNA", at positions 524 to 776 of the family's 1533-position model. The record is from RNAcentral.